RNAcentral lists this long non-coding RNA (1341 nucleotides) under Homo sapiens (human). Its description in RNAcentral is "HSALNT0327185". The record is from RNAcentral. Lineage: Eukaryota; Metazoa; Chordata; Mammalia; Primates; Hominidae.
GGAGGGUGAGGGCUCCAGCAUGGCAGGCUGCAGGUCCCGAGCCCUGCCCCCUUGCCCCGCGGGGAGGUGGCUGAGGCCCAGCGAAAAUUCGAGCGCGGCGCCGGCGGGCCAUCACUGUUGGAGGACCCAGUGCACCCUCCGCAGCUGCUGGCCCGGGUGCUAAGCCUCUCACUGCCCAGGGCCGGCGGCGCCAGCCGACCGCUCAAGAGUGCGGGGCGCGCCGAGCCCGCGCCCACCCGGAAGUCGCGCCGAGCCCGCGCCCACCCGGAAGUCGCGCUGGACCUGCGAGCCCCGCAGGCAGCCCAGGUUCCGGCCCGCGCCUCUCCCUCCACACCUCCCCGCCAGCAGAGGGAGCCCGCUCAGGCCUCAGCCAGCACAGAGAGGGGCUCCCACGGUGCAGCUGCGGGCUGAAGGGCUCCUCAAGCGCGGCCAGAGUGGGCUGAGGCCGAGGAGGUGCCGAGAGCCAGCGAGGGAUGCCAGCAAGCUGUCACCUCUCAGAAAUACAGGAAGAACAUCAAUAAUGUUCGAAGUUAUAAAGUAGUAGGUUUCUAUCAAGAGUAAAACAUAAACGAAGUUAUAAAGUAGUAGGUUUCUAUCAAGAAUAAAACAUAAACGAUCAAAGAAUUCCUUAUAAAAACAUUUUUUAUUUCUAGGAAUCAAAACAUAAAUAUAAAAUUUGAGAGUCCACCAAAAAAAAUUAGAUGCCAGAUUUCACUAUAAUUAUCAGGGAAGCGCCCAAAUGGGUUGUUUACGGCGCCUCGGGGAAACUUUCUGUUUCGUGUUAAGGGUCUUGAACCAUGAUGUUUAGAAAACCAUGGGCUGAUGCUUUCAGAACCUCUGUGAUUUUUGCCUCCGACACUGCAUCCAAUAGACUAGCAUGUUGAUUAGGGAAAGCUAAAUUCAAUAAAAGACGACUGUAGGUGGGGUCACCACCUUGAGGGGUCAUGUUAGAAAAGUAGAUGAUAAGGUGGUAUUGAUAGAGUAUUGAAGUCUGGGCUCAAAUGGUUGCCCGGGGCCUUUCAAGACCAAUGACUGAUAAGAAUAGGUAAUGUUCAGGACAUAGAGUUUAGGAUUGGGGGACACUGUGAGUUAAGGGCCAUGACAGAAGUCUUCAUAAGUAAACUGUUAAUUGACACAAGCUGCUACCUGCCCAGGCUGGAAUGCACUUGGAUGCCAGAGAUUUUGAUUUCUUCAUGUGAAAUAAGUUGCGGAGGUCAGAGGUCAGAAAACAAGGUGUCUGCAGGACCAACCUCUCCUCUGGAUGCUCUAGGUGAGAAUCUUUUCCAUGCCUUUCUCUUAGCUUCUGAUGUUGCCAUCAGAACUUCAGAUGGUGUUCCUUGG